Molecule: long non-coding RNA, 1022 nt
Filed under: Piliocolobus tephrosceles (Ugandan red Colobus)
Lineage: Eukaryota; Metazoa; Chordata; Mammalia; Primates; Cercopithecidae
Description: lncRNA (ENSPTEG00000009338.1)
Source: RNAcentral
AAAAAUGAUGGAAGCUCUAUAUAAUGAUUAUAAAAAAAACUGUUAUGAAUAUAUGAAGACAUUGUCAUAUACAGAAAGAAUAAUAAAUGAUAAUAAUACCGAUGAAAGUAAGUUAUUAAAUAUUUAUGAAAAAGCUAUAAAGAGUGCUGAGAGUAUGUUUAGCCGAAUGCAACUUGAAGUUGAAACAAAUGGUAUGACAAGUAAUAAACAAUAUGAAUUAAAUAAUAUAAACAAAGAAAUAAAUGAAUAUAAAAAAAAAUUAAGAAAAUAUAAAGAAGACUUUUUAGAAAGAAAUAGAAUAAAAAAUGACCAUAAUAAUGAUAACUAUGAUGACCGUAUAUUAUUAUUGAGUGAUGUAGAUAUAUUAGAGAAAGGUGAUGUAUAUAUUAAUCAAUCUAAAAUAUUAAUGAAUAAUUCAGAAUACAUUACAAAUGACAUUAUGAAUAAUUUACAUCAACAAAAAGAAUAUAUAAAAAAAAGUAUAUCUAAUGUUACUUUUGUGUCAGAUAAACUAAAUUAUGCCAAAAAAAUAAUGAAAAGUUUAAAAUACAAUGAGUUGUUUAAUAAGUAUAGGUUAUACAUAAUUUUUUUAUUUAUUUUUUUAACAUUUUCUUUUAUUAUUUGUGUAAAAUACAAUAGAUAUGUUAACAAAAUUAAACAACCAAGUAUAGAACAAACGACCGAAUUUGUAUCGACUACUACUAAUAAUAAUAACACUGAUCAUAAUCAUAUUAAUAAUUAUAUUAACGAUAUUGCAAAACUAAAUGAUUUAAAUAAAAAUCAUAGUGACACUGUUUUACCUCCUCCUACUCAUAACGAACGUCCAAAAAAAAGUAUAAUAUAUGAUUUUACCGAAGACAUAGAUAUCGAACAAAAUGAAAAUAGUUCUGAUAAAGACACAAAUAAAUCUUCCAUAAAUGAAACUAAUAAUAAGACAGAAUCACCAUUAAAUAAAAAUAGUGAUGAAAAUAAGCAACAUGACAAUAAUGAUAAAACAGAGAAUGAAACAAAAUUAAAUAGUA